RNAcentral lists this ribosomal RNA (484 nucleotides) under uncultured bacterium. RNAcentral's name for it is "bacterial SSU rRNA". It matches the Rfam family "Bacterial small subunit ribosomal RNA", at positions 30 to 507 of the family's 1533-position model. The record is from RNAcentral.
AUUGAACGCUGGCGGCAUGCCUUACACAUGCAAGUCGAACGGCAGCACGGGAGCAAUCCUGGUGGCGAGUGGCGAACGGGUUGAGUUAAUAUAUCGGAACGUGCCCAGUCGUGGGGGAUAACGUAGCGAAAGCUACGCUAAUACCGCAUACGAUCUAUGGAUGAAANCGGGGAUCGCAAGACCUCGCGCGAUUGGAGCGGCCGAUAUCAGAUUAGGUAGUUGGUGAGGUAAAGGCUCACCAAGCCGACGAUCUGUAGCUGGUCUGAGAGGACGACCAGCCACACUGGGACUGAGACACGGCCCAGACUCCUACGGGAGGCAGCAGUGGGGAAUUUUGGACAAUGGGCGCAAGCCUGAUCCAGCAAUGCCGCGUGCAGGAUGAAGGCCUUCGGGUUGUAAACUGCUUUGUACGGAACGAAACGGCGAGCUCUAAUACAGUUUGCUAAUGACGGUACCGUAAGAAUAAGCACCGGCUAACUACGUG